AGUUCCUAUAAGCACGUGCUCUCAGUUGAAGCAAAAGUAACUAAUUUUAAAUUUUCUGUCACAACAUCGAUACUGAUCAAUACUGCUCGAUACAAUUACUAUACAUAAAGAAUGGUAUAGAUCUGCGAUGUCUCUUUUUGUUUCUUGAACGUUGUUUAUUUAUAAAAUUGCACAGUUACAUAUUUGGUAUUCUUAGUCUAAUAUAAACAAAGAAAACGAGAAAAAGAGAUUAUACAGACUGUUACAGACACCUGUUACGUGGUAAAUUACAGAUUUAUAUCUUGUAAAAUAUUUUAAUAAACGCUAUAUAAAUAAAAAGAAUAUGUAUUUUAUGCAAAAAGGAGGAUAUUCCACUUGAUUGUUUUCGUAGUUUUCACAAGUAAGUUUUCAAAACUACCAACUACUACAGUAAUUGAAUAUAAGUUUAUUUAAUGUAUAACAAUAUUAUUAAUUAUUAUUAAUUAUUAGUAUAAAUGUAAUGUAUAACAAUAUUGUUUAUUUUCAUAUUUCACUGCUAAACAGGAUCUAUAGACCCUCAACAGGUGCCCGAUGAGCACCCCACCCCACUCCUGUAGGAGGACGGGAUAGUCCCAAAACAAUCCCCAACAAGUCCCAAAAUAGGAGUAUUUUUAAAAGACUUUUAUAGAUAACCCAACUACUUCUAAGCCUGUAUAUGUAUUUUUUUAUCCGUGUCAUAUAUGGUAAAGUUAGUUUAUAAUUAUUUUGAAUUAAAAGGACCCAUUAUUUUAUUUGUAAAGAGUUUGCAUGAUAAGCAAAAGCAUGAGUGCUUACAUUGGGUCUGUAAAAAAAUAUCAAAGUGGAUGGUAAGAGGAAUAAUUCUACUAACAUCAACUUUCUCUGCUGUUUAAUUCACUAGAGCUUAUUGGUUUGGAUUACAGGUGACUUCAUUAACAAUAAAAGGAGUAAAGGUGGAAGUACACUUGUGGAAUUAUUUUGUUUUUGGUAAAUUCAUCAGUUUCUUCUUUGGUAGAUCGGAGAAUUGAUCCAAUUGCCAGCUGGACCGUAGUUGCACACUAGGUAGUAGUUACUCCCUUCACCAUUCUGGUAGAUGAUCUUACC
Hylaeus anthracinus is the source of this 1080-nucleotide long non-coding RNA. RefSeq lists it as uncharacterized. The transcript has 2 exons. NCBI's taxonomy places the organism in Eukaryota, Metazoa, Arthropoda, Insecta, Hymenoptera, Colletidae. The record is from RefSeq and is a predicted model, not a curated record.